Non-coding RNA from Coffea arabica (coffee), 1245 nucleotides. The record is from RefSeq and is a predicted model, not a curated record. NCBI's taxonomy places the organism in Eukaryota, Viridiplantae, Streptophyta, Magnoliopsida, Gentianales, Rubiaceae.
CUUCUCUAUUUUCUCUCCUCUUCUCCUCAGACUCUCUCCGUUCCUGUCCUUUUCCUCCCUCUCUCUCUCUCUCUCUCUCUCUCUCUCGUGCUUUCGCUCGUAUUUAUUCUUGAUUCCACGACCUCUGAAAGCUUCAAUAAAACCUCCAGACGAGUGAAGAUCCGCACAAGUCUAGAUUAGUAGUUCAUUUUGGAAUCUCAUUACUUGAUUCGAUGUUAACCCUGAUUUUGUUUCUCUUAACUUUUGCCGGUGAUUUCGCUUGUGAAGGCCACCAAAUUUCUCAUUUUCUCUAAAAUCUGGCCUCAAACAACCCUUUCCAUUCCAACACAUGGGCGGGUCAACAGAAUCCUAAUCAACAGUAAGCUCUCAAGCUUCGCCCACCGCCGCUUUGUUCUUCUUUUUCUUCCCCGUGCUGCGCCGUUCUUUGCAGAUGCUUGUAGAUCGAUAGUUGAUUGCGAUUUGUGUGUGAAAAGUGCAGGUUAAGGAGGGAAAAGAGAUGACCAGUGGGAUGCUGCUCGUGGAAUUCUUAGUAUCUGAUCUCAUCAAUUUUUUGGGUUUUCUUUUAUAGUGGUGCUGCAAUUGGACAUUUCUUUGGUUCUUUUCGCUCGCACGCUUGUCUCAUCAAUUUAUUGGAAGUGGUUCAGGUUGUUAUGGGAUAAUGUAAUGAGUUUACGUUUCUUUAGAUUGAGGCUGAUUUACAGAUGAAUUCCAUGCUCAGGAUGGAAAAAAACUACUUGAUUACGUGGCUGAACAUAUUCAAUAGUAGUCUAUGAUGCAAGAGGAGGAUUCCUAAAACUAAUAGAUUUGUAGAUGUAAAUUACAGCUCCAGUAGCUAUUAGCUGUUGAGGAGUUAGGUCUAUCUUUGCAAAUGCUAAUAUCAUCAAAGAAUGGAAGCAAGAGGUAGAGCAAUACCAAAGAAAAAUUCAGUUGAAGUUUCAAAGUCUGCUGAUUGUUCCCUUGAGGAAAGCACAACUCCAACGAUAGUAUUGCAGAAUGAGAGCAAAAUUUAUGUCAUCGAAAUGAUAGAAAAGAAUUUCCAUCAAAACUGAAAUUUGCGGCUGAUCAUUCUCUCGAAGAAGGCGAAAUGCUUGUUUUUCUUCCUCAAUCCAGCAAUUCUUUUGCUGCUGUUGUCCUUAACAAAAACGAAUUGAAAAUAUGUAUCUAUGGCAUUAUAAAAUUUAUUCUGUUUCUAAAAUAUAUAAUGUAAUUUGAUUGUGGUUAGCGCAUGUUGCUUUCUUGUGAGCC